AGCUUUGCACAGUGGCAGUAUCAUAGCCAAUGAGGUUUAUCUGAGGCACAAUUAUUGCUAAUUGAAAACAUUUCCCAAUACCCUGCCAUGAAGACUUGCAAUAGAGUUGACACUAGUAAUUUUUGACAGUCUCCAUGGUGA
Small nuclear RNA from Saimiri boliviensis boliviensis (Bolivian squirrel monkey), 141 nucleotides. Its record names the gene U4. It matches the Rfam family "U4 spliceosomal RNA". From Rfam's summary of the family: U4 small nuclear RNA (U4 snRNA) is a component of the major U2-dependent spliceosome. The structure of U4 snRNA from yeast and human has been reported. U4 snRNA presents a k-turn RNA motif in the 5p-SL related to recognition of Snu13 protein. The record is from Ensembl. NCBI's taxonomy places the organism in Eukaryota, Metazoa, Chordata, Mammalia, Primates, Cebidae.